RNAcentral lists this ribosomal RNA (395 nucleotides) under uncultured bacterium. RNAcentral's name for it is "bacterial SSU rRNA". It matches the Rfam family "Bacterial small subunit ribosomal RNA", at positions 28 to 417 of the family's 1533-position model. The record is from RNAcentral.
GACGAACGCUGGCGGCGUGCUUAACACAUGCAAGUCGAGCGGUAAGGCCCUUUCGGGGGUACGACGAGCGGCGAACGGGUGAGUAACACGUGGGUGACCUGCCCUCCAGCUCUGGGAGUAAGCCCGGGAAACCGUAGGGUCGUAAUACCGGAUAUGACUCCAUGACGCAUGUUGUGGGGUGGAAAGCCUUGUGCGGCUGAGGAUGGGCCCGCGGCCUAUCAGCUUGUUGGUGAGGUGAUGGCCUACCAAGGCGACGACGGGUAGCCGGCCUGAGAGGGCGACCGGCCACACUGGGACUGAGACACGGCCCAGACUCCUACGGGAGGCAGCAGUGGGGAAUCUUGCGCAAUGGGCGAAAGCCUGACGCAGCGACGCCGCGUGAGGGAUGACGGCCU